GGGCGGAUGUGCAAUCUUCACCUGUUUAUUCGGUAGAGGGUGCCAUCUUCAGGUAGCCCUUCACGUUGUACAGAAAACAAUGGAGACUUCUCCUCCUGGGGCAGCUCAGAUAACAAGUGCCACUUCCAGGCUAAAGGAAUCCAUUCAGCAAACUCCCAGUAUGAAUGUUUCUGCUCUCGGCUGGAGAAACAGAAGAAGCAUUAAUGGAGGAGGAGAGGGAUUCUAGAGCAGCACAGUCUAAUACAACUUUCUGUGGGGAUGGAAAUGAUCCAUUAUCUGUGCUGCCCAAUAUGCCAGAUGCUAGCUCCAAUUAGCUACUGAGCACUUAAAAUGUGACUAGCACAGCUGAGAAACAGCCUUUCAUUUUAUUUCACUUUAAUUAAAGAGUUCUAGAGCUCCUGCCUCUAGAGCAGUGCUUUUUAG
RNAcentral lists this non-coding RNA (423 nucleotides) under Pongo abelii (Sumatran orangutan). The record is from RNAcentral. Lineage: Eukaryota; Metazoa; Chordata; Mammalia; Primates; Hominidae.